This 558-nucleotide long non-coding RNA is filed under the name Gossypium barbadense (sea-island cotton). RNAcentral describes it as "long non-coding RNA (GBAR_LNC019633)". Lineage: Eukaryota; Viridiplantae; Streptophyta; Magnoliopsida; Malvales; Malvaceae. The record is from RNAcentral.
AGUUGUUCGGUCCCUCUUCUUACAAAGGAGCUCGCAUGCGCAACGUGGCUUUCGAUGUCGUUGAGUUGUUGACCUUGAGCUUCAACGAGUGCCGCCAUGUCCAAGAAUAUCUGAUGGAGUUCAAUCAGGUUCUUCUCUAUCUCCUUAACAGCAUCAUGCCUUUCUUGUAUUUCAGAAAUGGUGUCCAUAAUCUGACCCCUUCCUUGUUCUUGAAUAGCCCUUUGGAGAAAACUCUCGCUUUCUCCACUCGAGAUCAAGUUCUCGAUAGUGUCCUCAUCGGGUUUUUCCCCAGUAAUGGUAAAAUAUCUACGUUCCACCGUUUCUUUAUACUCCGAUUGCAUCUUUGCUCUUAACACUUGAAAAUUAUCCAUCAUAUCUUUCAGUUUCUUUCCCAACCCACUAACCACCGAUGUCCUAGUCCUAUCCGCAGACGAACCAGGGCCACAACCUGGAGUGUUCCGACUCACCGCAUUCGACUUUUCCAACGCUUCGAGCUUUCCUUUAAUGAUCUUCACCCGUUUAAGCACCUGUUCGACAUCGGUAUCCAUUCGCGAACGA